RNAcentral lists this ribosomal RNA (449 nucleotides) under uncultured bacterium. Its description in RNAcentral is "partial 16S ribosomal RNA". It matches the Rfam family "Bacterial small subunit ribosomal RNA", at positions 28 to 523 of the family's 1533-position model. The record is from RNAcentral.
GAUGAACGCUGGCGGCAGGCCUAACACAUGCAAGUCGAACGCCCUAGCAAUAGGGAGUGGCAGACGGGUGAGUAACACGUGGGAACGUGCCCUUCGGUUCGGAAUAACUCAGGGAAACUUGAGCUAAUACCGGAUAAGUGCGAGAGCAGAAAGAUUUAUCGCCGAAGGAUCGGCCCGCGUCCGAUUAGCUAGUUGGUGAGGUAAUGGCUCACCAAGGCGACGAUCGGUAGCUGGUCUGAGAGGAUGACCAGCCACACUGGGACUGAGACACGGCCCAGACUCCUACGGGAGGCAGCAGUGGGGAAUAUUGGACAAUGGGCGCAAGCCUGAUCCAGCCAUGCCGCGUGAGUGAUGAAGGCCCUAGGGUUGUAAAGCUCUUUCGCCAGGGACGAUAAUGACGGUACCUGGAUAAGAAGCCCCGGCUAACUUCGUGCCAGCCGCCGCCGUAA